UCGAACGGCAGCAGAACAUAGCUUGCUAUGUUGCUGGCGAGUGGCGGACUGGUGAGUAACACGUAAGAAUCUACCCUUUGAUGGAGGAUAGCUUGUGGAAACAUAUGGUAAUACUCCAUGAAGCCGUGCACUAAAUUGAGUAUAUUGCAAUUAAAGAAUGUUUAUAUUUAGAAAAAAACAUCAAAAAAGCAGUAUAUUGAAUUUAGUGCGUGGUAAAAGUCUUCGGAUGUCAAAGGAUGAGCUUGCGUCCUAUCAGCUAGUUGGUAAGGUAAGAGCUUACCAAGGCUAUGACGGGUAACCGGCCUGAGAGGGUGAUCGGUCACACUGGAACUGAGAUACGGUCCAGACUCCUACGGGAGGCAGCAGCUAAGAAUAUUCCGCAAUUGGGGGAACCCUGACGGAGCGACACUGCGUGCGGGAUGAAGGCUUUCGGGUUGUAAACCGCUUUUGGUAGGGACGAAUAAGCUUAAUGCGAUGACGGUACCUACCGAAUAAGUCCCGGCUAAUUACGUGCCAGCAGCCGCGGUAAUACGUAAGGGGCAAACGUUACUCGGAAUCACUGGGCGUAAAGGGCCCGCAGGCGGUCUUGUAAGUCAGUUGUUAAAUACUAGUGUUUAACGCUAGAGAUGCGGCUGAUACUGCGAGACUAGAAUACAGUAUAGGGUGAUGGAAUUUCCGGUGUAGGGGUGAAAUCUGUAGAGAUCGGAAAGAAUACCGAUGGCGAAGGCAAUCACCUAGUCUGAUAUUGACGCUGAGGGGCGAAAGCUAGGGUAGCGAACGGGAUUAGAUACCCCGGUAGUCCUAGCCGUAAACGAUGUAUGCUAGAUAUAGGGAGGCAAGACCUUUUUGUAUCGCAGCUAACGCGAUAAGCAUACCGCCUGGGAAGUAUGCCCGCAAGGGUGAAACUCAAAGGAAUUGACGGGGGCCGGCACAAGCGGUGGAGCAUGUGGUUUAAUUCGAUGAUACGCGAAGAACCUUACCAGGGCUUGACAUGUACCUUACAUUCUUGCGAAAGCGAGAUGGCUUUUAGCGUGGUACACAGGUGCUGCAUGGUUGUCGUCAGCUCGUGUCGUGAGAUGUUGGGUUAAGUCCCGCAACGAGCGCAACCCUUAUUCUUAGUUGCCAUCAGGUAGUGCUGGGCACUCUAAGAAGACUGCCGGUGACAAACCGGAGGAAGGUGGGGACGACGUCAAAUCAUCAUGGCCCUUACGUCCUGGGCUACACACGUGCUACAAUGGUUGCUACAAAGGGCAGCGAAUCCGCGAGGUGGUGCGAAUCUCAAAAAAGCAAUCGUAGUUCGGAUUGCAGUCUGCAACUCGACUGCAUGAAGGUGGAAUCGCUAGUAAUCGCAGAUCAGCAAUGCUGCGGUGAAUACGUUCCCCGGCCUUGUACACACCGCCCGUCACACCACCCGAAUUGGCUAUACCCGAAGAUGCUGAGCUAACCAGUAAUGGAGGCAGG
This 1461-nucleotide ribosomal RNA is filed under the name uncultured bacterium. RNAcentral's name for it is "bacterial SSU rRNA". It matches the Rfam family "Bacterial small subunit ribosomal RNA". The record is from RNAcentral.